GAGAUUGUGGCUCAGCGGUAGAGCGCUCACCUAGCAAGUGCAGGGCCCUGAGUUGGAUCCUCAGCACCACA
RNAcentral lists this transfer RNA (71 nucleotides) under Marmota monax (woodchuck). RNAcentral describes it as "tRNA.Ala". Lineage: Eukaryota; Metazoa; Chordata; Mammalia; Rodentia; Sciuridae. The record is from RNAcentral.